RNAcentral lists this ribosomal RNA (211 nucleotides) under uncultured bacterium. RNAcentral describes it as "partial 16S ribosomal RNA". It matches the Rfam family "Bacterial small subunit ribosomal RNA", at positions 126 to 334 of the family's 1533-position model. The record is from RNAcentral.
CUACCCUCGGGUGGGGAAUAACUAGUCGAAAGAUUAGCUAAUACCGCAUAAUGCAGCGGCUCGACAUCGAGACAGUUGUUAAAGCAGAAAUGCGCCUGAGGAGGAGCCUGCGUCUGAUUAGCUAGUUGGUGAGGUAAUGGCUCACCAAGGCUGCGAUCAGUAGCUGGUCUGAGAGGACGGCCAGCCACAAUGGCACUGAAACACGGGCCAU